This is a long non-coding RNA of Neopelma chrysocephalum (saffron-crested tyrant-manakin), 848 nucleotides long. RefSeq lists it as uncharacterized. Lineage: Eukaryota; Metazoa; Chordata; Aves; Passeriformes; Pipridae. The record is from RefSeq and is a predicted model, not a curated record. The transcript has 2 exons.
CGCGCGGCCGGGAGGGAGCGGCGGCGGUGAGUGCGCGGGGAGUGCGCGGGGAGUGCGCGGGGGGUGCGCGCGGCCGCCUCGGGACCCCCGUGGAGCUCCCCCCCGCCCCGUAACAUCCCCCCGGGACCCCAGGGGACUCCUUCCCCAGGCUCCGCCCCGGCGGCAGCCGCCGAGCGCCUCAGCGCCGCGGGAGCGGCCGCUGCGGCUUCCCCAGGACGGUCAGGCCGGAGGCCGCGCGGUGAGGCCGCCCGGUAGCGUGAAUCACGUCCGGCCCUGGGCGAACGCGCCGGAGCGGGGCGGCCCCACCGCCGCGGGGCCGACGAGGAGAAGGGGUGCACCAGCUGCCGGUGACUGCAGAGUGCCGCAGCGGAGCGGGGUAAGGCCCCUCGGCCCCAGACGGUGGGAGCGGCUCCGGAACGCAGCUGGAUGGGAGGAUCCCCCCGCUGAACCCCUCCGGAGGCUCCGCACGGAGCUCGGCGGGUGCCGAUCCUGCGGUGUUGGUGAAGGCUCUGGGAAGUCACCGAGGAGAAGCGCCUGAAUGUGCCCGUACUUAGUAAAAACAUUAGUAGAGACGAUAUAUCAAAUCGUUCUUGCUUCAAUCCUGUGUCUUUCGUUCAUCUUGAAAUGCCAAGGGAUUCAGCUCAAGAGCUGUCCUCCCUGUGCCCUGCACACACUUUGUGCCCCCAAACCACAGCCCGAACCCAGAAGCCCUGAAGGCCAGGAGUACUUUGCUGAACACUUGAGUUGUGCCGUGGAAUAACACACCCCACUUUCCUUCUGAAAUGGACACUGAAACAGGAUGGCUGCAUCUCCCAUGUCUUGGAUAAUAGGAAUCUGAACUAAAGAUC